RNAcentral lists this long non-coding RNA (207 nucleotides) under Cyanistes caeruleus (blue tit). RNAcentral's name for it is "lncRNA (ENSCCEG00000016175.1)". The record is from RNAcentral. Lineage: Eukaryota; Metazoa; Chordata; Aves; Passeriformes; Paridae.
CUGCAAACAAAAUGAAUCAUGCCCUCUUUAGGAAAAUAUUUAUUAUAAAGGUAGUCAUGUAAGGGCUGCCCAAGAAUCUCAGAUGCUGCCAUGACAUCUCUGAAGUUCCUUGGCUGCUUUCUAACCAACUGGAGCUACACACCAUUAUGAGAAAAUGGUCCCACCGGCAGAAAAUAAAAAGUAUAGAAGAAAAAUCCAAAACAAUCC